Long non-coding RNA from Oncorhynchus gorbuscha (pink salmon), 2145 nucleotides. RefSeq lists it as uncharacterized. The record is from RefSeq and is a predicted model, not a curated record. The transcript has 2 exons. Lineage: Eukaryota; Metazoa; Chordata; Actinopteri; Salmoniformes; Salmonidae.
UACUUAAACUGCGUACUCAUUUACUUAAACUGCGUACUCAUUUACUUAAACUGCGUACUCAUUUACUUAAACUGCGUACUCAUUUACUUAAACUGCGUACUCAUUUCGGCGUUUGAUCUAGUACAAUUCAUUGGUCUUUUCUGACUCACGUGUUAGACGACAGCUGAUAAUCAGAUAAAUUGACCUGCUGUACUAUUUUCUAAACUUCACAUACUAGAAAACUUUAUUUUUUCACAUACUAUAGUACGCUAGUAUGGGUAUUGGGAGAUGGUCCAUGACUUAUUUCCAUAUGUUCCAUGUUUUCCACCUGUAGGUUUUCCUCAUUGACCUGGUGGUGUUUGAUUGUAAAUGUCCAUGUUUUCCACCUGUAGGUUUUCCUCAUUGACCUGGUGGUGUUUGAUUGUAAAUGUCCAUGUUUUCCACCUGUAGGUUUUCCUCAUUGACCUGGUGGUGAUUGAUUGUAAAUGUCCAUGUUUUCCACCUGUAGGUUCUCCUCAUCGGCCUGGUGGUGUUUGAUUGAUUGAUUGUAACUUUCCAUGUUUUCCACCUGUAGGUUCUCCUCAUCGGCCUGGUGGUGUUUGAUUGAUUGAUUGUAACUUUCCAUGUUUUCCACCUGUAGGUUCUCCUCAUUGACCUGGUGGUGUUUGAUUGAUUGAUUGUAACUUUCCAUGUUUUCCACCUGUAGGUUUUCCUCAUCGGCCUGUUGGUGUCAUGUUGUAAGGGGAAGAAAUCAGUGAUCGAAGGAGAGGUGGAGGCAGAUGACUCUGACAUGAGUGAAGACGAAUAUGUCCACUGACAAGACCACAGCCUGCCGGACCUGGGUUCAAAUACUAUUUGAAAUGUUUUAAAUACUUUUGAGCAUUUGCUUUAGCCUGCCUGGGAGUGUCGGGUGGGCGGGGUUUGCAUGUUCUGGACUUUUCUAUGGGUUCACCUGCAAAAGGCAAGCUUAAUCAAAUACAAUUGAAGUAUUUUAAAUCAUUUUAAACAGUGUGCCCUAAUGAAUAUGGCCCAGGUCUGCUACCUGCACGGACCAGGAGACAUUUGAACCGGAUUGGUUUCUGUUACAGCUGGUUUGCUAUAACAUAAGAAUAUGACAUUUGGAUUGUUCAUACAAGGCAGUAAAACUUUAAUUUGAACUGUUGUUUUCUGGUUUCUGCCUGAGAUUGGUUAAUAUUCCACAACGUUGUGUUGAUACUGAUGUAUUAUAACAGGAGAGGGUGAUGGUGAGGUUGCUUUUUACUAUUAGGGCAACUUUUUUUUUUUUGUUCAGUCAAGUGUCUUUGUUCAAAGCAGUAUGUAAACCCUGAAUGCAUCCCAAAUGGCACCCUAUUUCAAAUAUAGUGCACUUCUUUUGACCAAAGCCCUAUUGGACCCCGGUCACAAGUAGUGCACUAUAUAGGAUAUAGUGUUCCAUUUGAGAUGCAACCCUCUUUGUGUUACUACGGGUAUGUGCCUGUUGUUUCAAAUGUGAUCUCCACCAAUUCCAUGUUUUAUGUUUCCAAAAAGAAAGAUUUAGUGUUGCAAAAUUCUGGUAUAUUUUCCAAAAUGAGAGGAUUCUGAAUUCCCUGCUUAUUACCCUCACUAUUCUGGGAAUCUUCAAAUGGGGACGAAAAAGACAGAAAAACUAGGUGAAAGUUCCUAACAUUUUCCAACCCUAAGAAAGAUCCCUGGUUGAGAACCAAACGGUGGUACUGGAUGUUUUGGAUCCUGAAAAGACAAGAUGUUGUCGGGGAAACAAUAGUCCAGGAUUACUUUGUUUCUUAUUUAUUUGAACUCAGCACAUUUUUGUUGUCAUGUACAUUUCUGUAAUAUAUGGCUGGAUAAAUGUUUAUUUUAGCCUUUAACAGAUGUAUUAUUUUUAAGAUUACUAACUUAGCACAUUCAGCAUGUUAACUUACAUCAACAAAUAUAGACAUGUAUUUGAGACCAUAUUGAUAAUGCACAUUGCUGAGUUAAAAUAUAUAUUCUGUUAUCCCUGAUUUUGGUGGUGUUUGGUUGGCCUUAGCUUGACUAACUGUUAUUGCGUUAAUGAAUUGAUUUGCUGUAAAGUUAUCUGAACAUGAACCGAGCAUAAUAUCACUUGACUACUGAUCACGAUAUCAAUUUACUUUAUGAAUUUGGAAUAAAAUAUGAAUUCUGAAUUGA